GCAGGCAGGUCGGGCGCCUGGAUCGGUGAAGGCCCAUGCGGAACGGCGGUCCAGGCACACCCAGCCCCAGCAGGGCGCAUUUCCUCUGUGGCGGGUGCACCCCGACUGGCUGGGAAGCCCUCAGGGGGCAGAGGUGUCCAGUUAAAGGCUCGAAAGCAAAAGGGUCGAAUGCAAAAGGGUCGAGUGCAUUCGACGAAAACCAAAGGAUCGAAAAAUGUUUUAAAAAUAUAUCUUUUUUUUUUGCUCUAGUGUAGCUUUAAAAGGAUUUAUUUACCCAAAACUGGGGAAUUGACUCGACCCUUUUGUCAUUUGAGCCUUUUAUUUCGAGCCUUUGACCUAUAACCGGGGGCAGGUGGCUCUCUGCUCCAGCAGAGAGUGUUACAGCCCCCUGACAGCACUUAUGCUGUGUCCGCGGGGCAGAGGGAGCUUGACCACCACCGUGCCCUUCUCCGGCAACUGUCCUAGCCCCUCUUGGGGGGGGAGGUCUCCAGGGUAGCGAUGGGAAACGGGGCUCCCAAUGCGACUGUGGUGGACUGCCCUCAGAGCGCCCCGACCAUGUGGUACUGCCGGAUGGGGAGGCCCACAUAGGGUGCCAGGGGUCUGAGGUGAUGUCGGGUAACCACCCAACCAGUCUUGAAACACGGACCAAGGAGUGCGCGAGUCAGGGGGCUGAAUGAAACCCUGUAAUGUAAUGAUGGUGAGGGCUGGCGCUCGCCGAUUGCGGUGGGAUCCUGGUGCGGUGGGUGUUCCACUGACACGUCUAGCCCGCUCUGUCAGGGAGAUGGUGCAUGAGCGUGUGUGAUAGGACCGAAAGCUGGUGAACUCGGCCUGGUGGAGGUCGUAUCGGUCCCGAUGUGUAAAUCAGUCAUCUGACCUGGUUAUAGGGGUAAAAGACUUAUCGAACCAUCUAGCAGCUGGUUCUCUCCGAAGUUUCCCUCAGGAUAGCUGACGCAUGGAAACCUCUGUUUUAUCUAGCAAGCAAAUGAUUAGAGGUCUUUGGGCCAAAAUGAUCUCAACCUCAAACUUUAAAUGGGUAAGAAGCCCGGCUCGCUGGCGUGGAGCUGGCAUUGAAUGCAAGGGCCAGUCGGCAACUUUUGGAAAGCAGAACUGGCGCUGUGGGAUUAACCGAACUCUGGGUUAAGCGCGAUGCCGACGCUCAUCCGACCCCAGAAACUGUGUUGGUUGAUAUAGACAGCAGGAUGGUGGCCAUGGAAGUCGGAAUCCGCUAAGGGGUGUACAACUUACUGGCCGAAUCAACCAGCCCUGAAAAUGGAUGUUGCUGGAGCGUCGGGCCCAUACCCCUCCUGAGUAGGAGGGCUGCUGUGGUGUGCACAGAAAACCAGGGCGAGGGCCCGGGUGGACCCGCAGGUGCAGAUCUUGGUGGUAGUAGCAAAUAUUAAAACGAUUGAAGGCUGAAGUGGAGAAGGGUUCCAUGUGAACAGCAGUUGAACAUGGGUCAGUGGGUCCUAAGAGAUGGGUGAGCGCUGUUCAGAAGGCAUUCUGCCUUGGCCGACACCUAGCAGCUGACUUAGAACUGGUGCGUACCAGGGGAAUCCAACUGUUUAAUUAAAACAAAGCAUUGCGAAGGCCCGCGCUGGGUGUUGACGCAAUGUGAUUUCUGCCCAGUGCUCUGAAUGUCAAAGUGAAGAAAUUCAAUGAAGCGUGGGUAAACGGCGGAAGUAACUAUGACUCUUAAUGCAGCCAAAUGCCUUGUCAUCUAAUUGGUCAUGUGCAUGAAUGGAUGAAUGAGAUUCCACUGUCCCUACCUACUAUCUAGCAAAUACACAGCCAAGGGAACGGGCUUGGCAGAAUCGGCAGGGAAAGAAGACCCGGUUGAGUUUGACUCUAGUCUGGCACUGUGUAGAGACAUGAGAGGUGUAGGAUAAGUGGGAGGCCCUCGGCCACCGAUGAAAUACCACUACUCUUAUCCUUUUUCCACUUACCCGGUGAGUUGGGGGGUGAGCCCCAUGCGGCUCUCGCUUCUGGCUCCAAGGGGCCUGCCGGGCACGACCCGCUCCGGGGAUAGUGGCAGGUGGGGAGUUUGACUGGGGUGUUACACCUGCCAAAUGAUAACGCAGGUGUCCUAAGGAGAGCUCAGGGAGGACAGAAACCUCCCGCGGAGCAGAAGGGCAAAACCUAGCUUGUUCUUGAUUUUCAGUAUGAAUACAGACCGUGAAAGCAGGGCCUCGCGAUCCUGCUGACUUUUUGGGUGUCAAGCAGAAGGUGUCAGAAAAGUUACCACAGGGAUAAUUGGCUUGUGGCGGUCAAGCAUUCAUACUGAUGUCGCUUUUUGAUUCUUCGAUGUCAAUUCUUCCUAUCAUUGUGAAAUAGAAUUCACCAAGUGUUGGAUUGUUCACCCACUAAUAGGGAACGUGAGGUGGGUUUAGACCGUCGUGAGACAAGUUAGUUUUACCCUACCGAUGAUGUGUUGCAAUAGUAAUCCUGCUCAGUACGAGAGGGGCUGCAGGUUCAGACAUUUGGUGUGCAUGCUUGGCUGAGGAGCCAAUGGGGCGAGGCUACCAUCUGUGGGAUUAUGAAUGUACGCUUCUAAGUCAGAAUCCACCCCGCCCCCCAGACCUCUCUCCAUCUUUGGUUGGCCUAGGAUAGCCGGCCUCGGGGCCGGUGUGUAGAGCCGCUCGCCUUGGGACUGGGGUGUGGACAGAAGGGUGCCACCUCUCUCGCCCGUAGUGCACUGCAUGUUCGUGGGGAACCUGGUGCUAAAUCAUUCGUAGAGGACCUGAUUCUGGUUCAGGGUUUCGUAAGUAGCAGAGCAGCUACCUCGCUG
This 2785-nucleotide ribosomal RNA is filed under the name Ambystoma mexicanum (axolotl). Its description in RNAcentral is "eukaryotic LSU rRNA". It matches the Rfam family "Eukaryotic large subunit ribosomal RNA". The record is from RNAcentral. Lineage: Eukaryota; Metazoa; Chordata; Amphibia; Caudata; Ambystomatidae.